AGUGAACGCUGGCGGUAGGCCUAACACAUGCAAGUCGAACGGCAGCACAGGAGAGCUUGCUCUCUGGGUGGCGAGUGGCGGACGGGUGAGGAAUACAUCGGAAUCUACUUUUUCGUGGGGGAUAACGUAGGGAAACUUACGCUAAUACCGCAUACGACCUACGGGUGAAAGCAGGGGAUCUUCGGACCUUGCGCGAUUGAAUGAGCCGAUGUCGGAUUAGCUAGUUGGCGGGGUAAAGGCCCACCAAGGCGACGAUCCGUAGCUGGUCUGGGAGGAUGAGCAACCACACUGGAACUGAGACACGGUCCAGACUCCUACGGGAGGCAGCAGUGGGGAAUAUUGGACAAUGGGCGCAAGUCUAAUCCAGCCAUACCGCGUGGGUGAAGAAGGCCUUCGGGUUGUAAAGCCCUUUUGUUGGGAAAGAAAUCCAGCUGGCUAAUACCCGGUUGGGAUGACGGUACCCAAAGAAUAGGCACCGGCUAACUUCGUGCCAGCAGCCGCCGUAA
RNAcentral lists this ribosomal RNA (506 nucleotides) under uncultured bacterium. Its description in RNAcentral is "partial 16S ribosomal RNA". It matches the Rfam family "Bacterial small subunit ribosomal RNA", at positions 29 to 523 of the family's 1533-position model. The record is from RNAcentral.